GAGUUUGAUCCUGACUCAGAGCGAACGCUGGCGGCGUGCUUAACACAUGCAAGUCGAACGCGCAGUUUUCUGUAGCAAUACAGGAAAUGGGCGCGUGGCGAACGGGUGCGUAACACGUGGGCAACCUUCCCUUCGGUGGGGGAUACCCUCGCGAAAGCGAGACUAAUACCGCAUAACAUUCCCUUGGUUACGACUGGGGGAUUCAAAGCAGCAAUGCGCCGGAAGAGGGGCCCGCGGCCGAUUAGCUAGUUGGUGAGGUAACGGCUCACCAAGGCAAUGAUCGGUAACCGGUCUGAGAGGACGAUCGGUCACACUGGAACUGAGACACGGUCCAGACUCCUACGGGAGGCAGCAGUGGGGAAUAUUGCGCAAUGGGCGAAAGCCUGACGCAGCGACGCCGCGUGGGGGAUGAAGCUUUUCGGAGUGUAAACCCCUUUCGACCCGGACGAAAGCCCGCAAGGGCCUGACGGUACGGGUAUAAGAAGCCCCGGCUAACUACGUGCCAGCAGCCGCGGUAAAACGUAGGGGGCCAGCGUUGCUCGGAAUUACUGGGCGUAAAGGGUCUGUAGGCGGUGCGGCAAGUCGGAAGUGAAAUCUCAGGGCUCAACCCUGAGACUGCUCCCGAAACUGCCGUGCUCGAGUGCGAGAGAGGCGGGUGGAAUUGCAGGUGUAGCGGUGAAAUGCGUAGAUAUCUGCAGGAACAUCCGAGGCGAAAGCGGCCCGCUGGAUCGCAACUGACG
This 740-nucleotide ribosomal RNA is filed under the name uncultured bacterium. RNAcentral describes it as "bacterial SSU rRNA". It matches the Rfam family "Bacterial small subunit ribosomal RNA", at positions 9 to 745 of the family's 1533-position model. The record is from RNAcentral.